UCGACAUUACCUACACUCCACACCACAUGGGCUAAACCGGGCUUAACCACACACUGGAUGUUCGAGAAACACGUGACAGGAGUGAUUCUCGAUUCGGGAGCAUUGCUACCAUGUUGAUCCACGUGUGAGCAGGAAGGUGUUCACCAGCCAGAGAAACUGCAGGAAGCCAACAGCGAACAGACUGCGAGCAGAAUCUGAGAUGAAUAACAGUGAGGUCGGAUCUUAGCGGGACGCUGCGGAGAGGAAGAACAGCAUGAGGAACACCGUCUGUUUCAGAGGGUUCGUCUGAAAUGUAUUAUUUUAUAAUUGUACUUAUGAGAGACUAAAG
Molecule: long non-coding RNA, 328 nt
Organism: Siniperca chuatsi (mandarin fish)
Lineage: Eukaryota; Metazoa; Chordata; Actinopteri; Centrarchiformes; Sinipercidae
Exons: 3
Source: RefSeq, a predicted model, not a curated record